RNAcentral lists this ribosomal RNA (204 nucleotides) under Triticum aestivum (bread wheat). RNAcentral's name for it is "partial small subunit ribosomal RNA". The record is from RNAcentral. Lineage: Eukaryota; Viridiplantae; Streptophyta; Magnoliopsida; Poales; Poaceae.
AUGGAGGCUGUUAAUCCGGAGUGUGUCCGGUGGAUAGGUCAGGACCAAGCCGUUCUGGGUUUCUUGCUCAGUUCCCUGGCAAAGGAAAUACUGACGCAAGUAGUGUCAAUUCCAACCGCAGCUGAAUGUUGGGCGACGCUUGAACAAAUGUUCUCGUCGCAAUCCAGUGAGCGGGUUAUCAACAUCCGCAUGACCAUGGCAAAU